Poecilia latipinna (sailfin molly) is the source of this 225-nucleotide long non-coding RNA. RefSeq lists it as uncharacterized. Lineage: Eukaryota; Metazoa; Chordata; Actinopteri; Cyprinodontiformes; Poeciliidae. The record is from RefSeq and is a predicted model, not a curated record. The transcript has 3 exons.
CAGUGGUGGUCCGAAAUAACUCCCACAGAGGAUCCAGCUGUGUGAAUCCACACACAGUAUUAAAGAGCGACAUACCUGUAAAGCUUGAGUGUCAAGUUGUAGAAAUGGACGUAAGGAGAGAAGAUGAGGAUUAAAACUGAGGCAGCCCUACCUUUGGGAGUCUAAAUGGGGUCUCUGCAUGGCUGAUUUAAGGACAAGAGCAUCAGGACGAAUGGCUGCCUGUGG